Homalodisca vitripennis (glassy-winged sharpshooter) is the source of this 335-nucleotide long non-coding RNA. RefSeq lists it as uncharacterized. The transcript is spliced from 2 exons. The record is from RefSeq and is a predicted model, not a curated record. Lineage: Eukaryota; Metazoa; Arthropoda; Insecta; Hemiptera; Cicadellidae.
GGCGAUUGCUGACCUCAAUGUGGUACUGCCUUCUAUGACGGCUCAUUCACAACUCCAUCAACUCUGAUUGUCCAAUUUCAUCAAUGAGUGUGACACUGCUAUCAUACACUAUAGCUAUUUAUAGUGCAACACACAAAGUUUCAUGCAGAAUUUGAAGUCUAUACAUCAGUUCAUUCUCGAGAUAUCGUGGAGACAGGCAAAAAUGGAAUCUUUCCAGCCCCUCAUUUAAGAGACUUCGCUACUGGUAAUACUAUUUCUGUAUUCAUUGAAGGAGAGACUCAAUUUUAUGUUAUAGUACACUGUAAUCUCGGAAAAAAUAUAUGUAUUGAAUUUUA